UGGCCCCAUAGGCCUCAGUUUAUAUCUUACACUGAAUUUAGGACUUACAGCAAUUUGUCAUUCCUACAAUUUUUCUCCAACUAGUAAGCAGAACAAGCAUCAGAGAAUGAGAACUAGAUUUUUUUUUUUACUUUAAUAAGGAAAAAUAUGAAUACAAGAAAGAGAGGAAAUUAACUGGAAGACAAGAAGAGAAAUCACCCCACAGUCUGCAUAACAACCUUAAUAAGGGACAACAUGAGUUUCUGUGAUCUUGGAACCUGUUCUUGGUUUUUUCUUGGAUUUAAAUCAGAGAAGAUACUAGAUGUGAGCACUUUAUGGGUGGGUAAAGAAAAAUGAAAACAAAACGUGCUUCUAAAGGGAAUAAUAAAAAUAAUAUAAGCAUGCUUAUUUCAAUAUUAAGUCACUCUCACCUUUACUGUCAAAAAUCAAAAUACUCAUGUAAAAAAAAUUAACAGAUGUAAUGUUACUAAAUCAGCCUCAUGAACAAUGACAUUACCUUAUUACACCAAACAACAUGACAAGUUUAU
Long non-coding RNA from Manis pentadactyla (Chinese pangolin), 527 nucleotides. RefSeq lists it as uncharacterized. Lineage: Eukaryota; Metazoa; Chordata; Mammalia; Pholidota; Manidae. The record is from RefSeq and is a predicted model, not a curated record. The transcript is spliced from 3 exons.